RNAcentral lists this ribosomal RNA (397 nucleotides) under uncultured bacterium. RNAcentral describes it as "partial 16S ribosomal RNA". It matches the Rfam family "Bacterial small subunit ribosomal RNA", at positions 523 to 918 of the family's 1533-position model. The record is from RNAcentral.
AUACGUAGGUGACAAGCGUUAUCCGGAUUUACUGGGUGUAAAGGGCGUGUAGGCGGUUUAGCAAGUCUGAAGUGAAAUUCCCGGGCUUAACUUGGGCGCUGCUUCUGAAACUGCUUUACUUGAGUGCUGGAGAGGAUAGUGGAAUUCCUAGUUUAGCGGUAAAAUGCGCAGAUAUUAGGAGGAACACCGGUGGCGAAGGCGGCUAUCUGGACAGUAACUGACGCUGAGGCGCGAAAGCACGGGGAGCAAACAGGAUUAGAUACCCUGGUAGUCCGUGCCGUAAACGAUGAAUACUAGGUGUAGGGGGUAUCGACUCCCUCUGUGCCGCAGUUAACACAUUAAGUAUUCCACCUGGGGAGUACGGCCGCAAGGUUGAAACUCAAAGGAAUUGACGGGG